AGAGUUUGAUCCUGGCUCAGAUUGAACGCUGGCGGCAUGCUUUACACAUGCAAGUCGAACGGUAACAGGGAGCUUGCUCCGCUGACGAGUGGCGAACGGGUGAGUAAUGCAUCGGAACGUGCCUAUUUGUGGGGGAUAACGUAGCGAAAGUUACGCUAAUACCGCAUACGCCCUGAGGGGGAAAGCGGGGGAUUCGUAAGAACCUCGCGCAAUUAGAGCGGCCGAUGUCGGAUUAGCUAGUUGGUGGGGUAAAGGCUCACCAAGGCGACGAUCCGUAGCGGGUCUGAGAGGAUGAUCCGCCACACUGGGACUGAGACACGGCCCAGACUCCUACGGGAGGCAGCAGUGGGGAAUUUUGGACAAUGGGCGAAAGCCUGAUCCAGCCAUGCCGCGUGAGUGAAGAAGGCCUUCGGG
This 414-nucleotide ribosomal RNA is filed under the name uncultured bacterium. RNAcentral describes it as "bacterial SSU rRNA". It matches the Rfam family "Bacterial small subunit ribosomal RNA", at positions 8 to 422 of the family's 1533-position model. The record is from RNAcentral.